This 778-nucleotide long non-coding RNA is filed under the name Medicago truncatula (barrel medic). Its description in RNAcentral is "long non-coding RNA (MTRU_LNC008153)". Lineage: Eukaryota; Viridiplantae; Streptophyta; Magnoliopsida; Fabales; Fabaceae. The record is from RNAcentral.
UUACGUAGAUGUUCUGCUCCUAAAGAAAAUAAAGUUCUUCAAAAUUCAAUGUCACAUUGAGAACUCUAUACAUUCAAUGUCACAUAGAUUUUUCGAUUGUGCUUUAUUUUGUUGAUUUAUUUGAAGGUAUAGUUGCAAGGCUUAUUGCCAUUUGAUUUCUAAUUACACGUGUUAGUUUAUAUAUGCUAAGGUUAUCAUUAUGUAUAGAGUACAUGCAUACACGAAUCUAUAUAGAUGAGUUUCUACACAUUGUGAAUUAACAACUCACAUUUUGCAUAUUUUCUAAUAAUAAUACAUAGAGCAUCUGCAAUAUUUAGCAAUUAUAAUUUACUCCACACAUUGGAAAAUCAUAAUUCAGUUUUUGAUUAUGAUUACAUAGAGCAUCUGCAACAUUUCUGAUUGUAAUUCAAUUUAUAACUAAAUCAUAAUUGAAACAAAAAAAGCAUAAAUGUUGCAGAAAUGUGAGGGAUUUAUGUUGCAGUUCCUAAUUGUGGAAACUAAAUGAGUGAUGGCUUUUCUGUAGAAGCUAAAUGUUGCGAGCGGAGGCUUUUCUGUAGGAACUGAAAUGUUGCAGAUGCUCUAUGUAAUUCAAUUUAUAACUAAAUCAUAAUUGUACAUCUUACUUAAUUAAAGAAAAUCCGAGCUGCAUAUCAUACCUCAUUGGAACACAUGUUUUACUCCACACAGGUGAAGAAGCGCCCUGCAUAUCUCUUCCCUAAGUCACCUUAGUCUCUUUUACACUUGAACACAACAGUUUCAUUCACCCAAGUUUCUAAAU